GAGAAACGGCUACCACAUCCAAGGAAGGCAGCAGGCGCGCAAAUUACCCAAUCCCGACACGGGGAGGUAGUGACAAUAAAUACUGAUGCAGAGCUCUUUUGGGUUUUGCAAUUGGAAUGAGUACAAUUUAAAUCUCUUUAAUUCGUUAGGAGAUUUCCAGGCAGUCGGGCGUCAUGCCCGGCGACGUGCUCUCUUUCGAGGAACUUCUCUCGGCGAGAACAACUCGAAUUUCCCCCCGGGGAAAUCAGAGACUACAUGAGCACGGGCGGUCCCCCGGCGGGAUCGUCGAUGGUAUAGUCCAACCCUGCGGCGAGAGCCAAAGGUAUUAGUGUAACGAGGAACAAUUGGAGGGCAAGUCUGGUGCCAGCAGCCGCGGUAAUUCCAGCUCCAAUAGCGUAUAUUAAAGUUGUUGCAGUUAAAAAGCUCGUAGUUGAACCUUGGGUCUGGCUGACCGGUCCGCCUCACCGCGUGCACUGGUUCGGCCGGACCUUUCCUUCUGGGGAACUGCAUGCCCUUAACUGGGUGUGUUUGAGAACCAGGACUUUUACUUUGAAAAAAUUAGAGUGUUCAAAGCAGGCCUAUGCUCGAAUACAUUAGCAUGGAAUAAUAGAAUAGGACGGCGUUCUUAUUUUGUUGGUUUCUAAGACCGCCGUAAUGAUUAAUAGGGAUAGUCGGGGGCAUCAGUAUUCAAUUGUCAGAGGUGAAAUUCUUGGAUUUAUUGAAGACUAACUACUGCGAAAGCAUUUGCCAAGGAUGUUUUCAUUAAUCAGUGAACGAAAGUUAGGGGAUCGAAGACGAUCAGAUACCGUCGUAGUCUUAACCAUAAACUAUGCCGACUAGGGAUCGGACGGUGUUAUUAUUUUGACCCGUUCGGCACC
RNAcentral lists this ribosomal RNA (878 nucleotides) under Ebollia carnea. RNAcentral describes it as "SSU rRNA". It matches the Rfam family "Eukaryotic small subunit ribosomal RNA", at positions 398 to 1087 of the family's 1831-position model. Lineage: Eukaryota; Fungi; Ascomycota; Lecanoromycetes; Ostropales; Stictidaceae. The record is from RNAcentral.